AUCCAGAAGACGAGUCCCAAAUAAGACGAAACGCGUGUUGUCCUGGAU
RNAcentral lists this non-coding RNA (48 nucleotides) under Trichobilharzia regenti. Lineage: Eukaryota; Metazoa; Platyhelminthes; Trematoda; Strigeidida; Schistosomatidae. The record is from RNAcentral.